CCUACGGGUGGCAGCAGUGGGGAAUAUUGCACAAUGGGGGAAACCCUGAUGCAGCGACGCCGCGUGAGUGAAGAAGUAUUUCGGUAUGUAAAGCUCUGUCAGCAGGGAAGAAAAUGACGGUACCUGACCAAGAAGCCCCGGCUAACUACGUGCCAGCAGCCGCGGUAAUACGGAGGGGGCAAGCGUUAUCCGGAUUUACUGGGUGUAAAGGGAGCGUAGACGGCGGGGCAAGUGUGGAGGGAAAGGCGGGGGCUCAACCCCCGGACUGCUCUGGAAACUGCCAGGCUGGAGUGCAGGAGAGGUAAGUGGAAUUACUAGUGUAGCGGUGAAAUGCUUAGAUAUCACGAAGAACUCCGAUUGCGAAGGCAGCUUACUAAACUGCCACUGACAUUGAUGCUCGAAAGUGUGGGUAUCAAACAGGAUUAGAUACCCCAGUAGUC
RNAcentral lists this ribosomal RNA (440 nucleotides) under uncultured bacterium. RNAcentral describes it as "partial 16S ribosomal RNA". It matches the Rfam family "Bacterial small subunit ribosomal RNA", at positions 338 to 795 of the family's 1533-position model. The record is from RNAcentral.